This 685-nucleotide unclassified non-coding RNA is filed under the name Hevea brasiliensis (rubber tree). Lineage: Eukaryota; Viridiplantae; Streptophyta; Magnoliopsida; Malpighiales; Euphorbiaceae. The record is from RNAcentral.
UGCCUCGUCAAGCACAUGAUGGCUGCCAUAGAUAGACACAUAACAUAAGGAGUGCUAUUUAAGAGGAAGCCCAAUUCCAAAGUUAAACACAACUGGAAAUAUCUAACAUGUUUAGAUUCAUGGCUUUGGGCAAAAUCCAUUUUUUGAAUUUGCUAGAUAUUUAUGAAAUUGGAUUUUAGUAAAUCCACAAGUAAAAGUGGAGGUCAAAAAUGAUUGGCUUCAAAUUAACAGCAAGCUAACAGAAAAACAUAAUCAAGACACAAAGUACACAAGGUGAGGCCAAAACCCUCACAACUGGGCAUUCAUUUUCGUGUGUGGUGCGUCCCUGCUAUAGUUGCAGAUACUCCAAGGAAAAAGACAAGUUCUUUCCGAACUACAAAUCACAAGUAUCCUAAGCGCAGUCUAAUUGCAUUAUGCGUUUAUAUGAAAAAAGGCAUCCCCAGCACACAAGGCUUCACACUUUAUGAUGGUUGGGGGCGGGUCAUCUAUAGUACACAGCAUUUCAAUCCCCCCUGCCUUUUGCAAGGAGGUUGUCUCCACAACUCAAACCUGAGACCUUUUAGUCAUAAAAGAGCAACCGUACUAUUGUACCGCAGCUCAUCCUCAAUAUCAUCAUGUAAGCUGGAAAAAAUAUUAAAAACUAAAAGUUCAGAUAAUGUACCUUGCACCUCUCAGUACAAUAGUA